This is a non-coding RNA of Ornithorhynchus anatinus (platypus), 138 nucleotides long. The record is from Rfam. Lineage: Eukaryota; Metazoa; Chordata; Mammalia; Monotremata; Ornithorhynchidae.
CUCCUCUCAGGGUCGCAUCUGGAGAGUUUCCAUUACCCUACCAGUCUCAGCUAUGGGAGGGAGAGUCAAGCAGAGGCCUACCCAUUCCAUUCCUAGUUUAGGCAGCGGCUGGCAAGUGGAAGACAAUCCGCUACAAGU